This 98-nucleotide transfer RNA is filed under the name Methylorubrum podarium. RNAcentral's name for it is "tRNA-Cys". Lineage: Bacteria; Pseudomonadati; Pseudomonadota; Alphaproteobacteria; Hyphomicrobiales; Methylobacteriaceae. The record is from RNAcentral.
GCGACGGGGCAGACCGGCUCGCAGGGCGCGUGCUCGCAAUGCAUGCAGGGCACGGGCUGGAACCCGGCCCGCGGUGACUCGGGUCUGCCCUCGUCGUA